RNAcentral lists this long non-coding RNA (463 nucleotides) under Homo sapiens (human). RNAcentral's name for it is "HSALNT0125890". The record is from RNAcentral. Lineage: Eukaryota; Metazoa; Chordata; Mammalia; Primates; Hominidae.
CGUACAUGUUCAGAAGUGCCCGUGUCAAUACAGUGCAGCUACGCUACUCACAGUAAAAACUGUGCUCAUCCACAUCUCAGAGGGAGGUGAGGUGAACAACUCCAAACUCGUGCCACCCUCAUCACAGAACAUCUAUUUCCAGCUUUAUAGCACAGAUCUCUCAGGGCUGCAAUAGACCAGAUAUUCAUAGAAAAUGGAAGAAGCUGGUUCAUUCAACUUAUGCAUUUCACUGCCUGGAUCAGUGCCACUGUAACCCUGGGAUAUUUCUUUACAGAUCUGCAACUGGUUCUCUCAAGGCUGGAAAGGAUUAGAAAUUCUAGAAGAUGGAGUCUAGUCUACACACAAUUCAAACUAAGGACCCCUCACACCCCGCCCCUGGGUUUAGAGUUCCAUAGCUCCAACACAGAAGUGAAAUCGUUUCCCCUGGAAUCUUUUCACUGCCUGUUUUUUAACUGUUCUUUAG